This 316-nucleotide unclassified non-coding RNA is filed under the name plant metagenome. RNAcentral's name for it is "partial contains 5.8S ribosomal RNA, internal transcribed spacer 2, and large subunit ribosomal RNA". The stretch from base 1 to 105 matches the Rfam family "5.8S ribosomal RNA", at positions 50 to 154 of the family's 154-position model. The record is from RNAcentral.
AAAAUGCGAUAAGUAAUGUGAAUUGCAGAAUUCAGUGAAUCAUCGAAUCUUUGAACACACAUUGCGCCCGCCAGUAUUCUGGCGGGCAUGCCUGUUCGAGCGUCAUUUCAACCCUCAAGCCCCCGGGUUUGGUGUUGGGGAUCGGGCUGCGGUUCUACCGCGUCCCGGCCCCGAAAUCUAGUGGCGGUCUCGCUGCAGCCUCCAUUGCGUAGUAGCUAACACCUCGCAACUGGAACGCGGCGCGGCCAAGCCGUUAAACCCCCAACUUCUGAAUGUUGACCUCGGAUCAGGUAGGAAUACCCGCUGAACUUAAGCA